RNAcentral lists this long non-coding RNA (767 nucleotides) under Mus pahari (shrew mouse). RNAcentral describes it as "lncRNA (MGP_PahariEiJ_G0006003.1)". The record is from RNAcentral. Lineage: Eukaryota; Metazoa; Chordata; Mammalia; Rodentia; Muridae.
ACCAUUUCACUCUGAUGAGCUGAAGCAGGAGCCAGAGAAAGAUCUGAAGGAAACCUGGGGGUGGAAGGCAGCCUGGAUGUCUAGAGCAUCUCAUUUGCUAACUUUUUGAAAUACAUCCACUCUUCGGUUUUUGCAAGGGUCUCUAUCAUUCAAUGUCAGACAAGCAGACGCUUGCUCUACCCUGGCACUCCAGAGCUCAAGCCAGUUCUGGUCUCAGCAGGUGCCUGUCAAUGUCUUCUACUGAGCUGCUGUAGGAAUGCAGAGGAAAGGCCAACUCAACCCUCCAACUGUGAACCCAACACCCCCUACCAGGGUGGGCCUUCCUACCCCUCCAGCUCCAAGGACACACCUCUAUUGUCAAAAGAUGCUCUGGCUGAAGAAGCACUUUUGUGACAUCUAUACCAUGUCAUGCUGAUCUCAGAAGCUGCAGGUGAGAUGAGAGCCCAGAGCUAACCAGUGGUUCACUCUAGGGUGUUUUGAUAAAAGCUGGGUUCUUCGGGACUCAGGCUCUGCCCACGUCUCCUGUGUGCAUCUCUCCAGAGCUAAGAAGGUUUGACUAAGUGUCAAGUCCUCCCUUGGCUCCUGCAUCUUGAGUCAGCAUCACUCCAGGGUGCUCAACAGCCCUUCACCCUCAUCUCCCUGGAGAGAACCAGACACCUCAGUCAGGGACCAACAGCAUGAAGAAGAGAGCUGACAUCCUACCUGCCCUUACCACACACCAGACACCACAGAAUGAGCCCAGCUAUCUGCAAAGAUGUUUGGCAGAA